UGCUGAGCUCUGAAGUGCUUCCUCUCCCUCCCAGAAGCCACACAGAGGAUAUAUCUAUUCUUGAAGGAGCACUGAGGCUCUCAGACUUGACCUUUAAAUGUUUUAGGUAUUGUUAACUGUGCCGAUAUUUUUUCCCUAGGCUCUCCAUACACUUGCAGAAGGGAAUUUCAGUCCAUUUGCUGAAGACUAGGCAACCCUUCCGCCUAAUAAAUCCAGAAGCCUCUGCCAGAGAGUGUGACACAGUAGGGGUAUGGACAACCACGUGUGGAUCUCAGGAAAAAAUCAUUAAAGACAUCCCUUAUAAAGCCUCCAUUGUCAGCAGCUCUUUUACCCCUUUCACAUACCUUGGAGGUAUUGGUAUCAACCUGGGAACUACCCCUGGUCCAAGAGGAGGCAACCCCACAGCCUGUGUGAGGCUUCACACUGGUGGGAGAUGUGGCAUCCCUCUCAUCAGCCAAAUGACCUGUUUCCCCUCAGUUUGUCCUUAGACACAGCCAGCCAUUCACAGACAUCUUUCCUGAAAAACAUCAGAAACAGCAGAAGCACUGGGACCCUGCAGUGCUGCACUGUGUGACCUUUCAGAAGUGGCAAUAACACAU
Molecule: long non-coding RNA, 599 nt
Filed under: Junco hyemalis (dark-eyed junco)
Lineage: Eukaryota; Metazoa; Chordata; Aves; Passeriformes; Passerellidae
Description: lncRNA (ENSJHYG00000005526.1)
Source: RNAcentral